Molecule: long non-coding RNA, 814 nt
Filed under: Mus musculus (house mouse)
Lineage: Eukaryota; Metazoa; Chordata; Mammalia; Rodentia; Muridae
Description: predicted gene, 32921 (Gm32921)
Source: RNAcentral
CAAUGAGUUGGCAGGACUCUGGUUAAUUCUGGAAAGAGGAGCAUAAACCACUAUUGUAUGCCUCCCAAAUCAUGCCACUGCCUCCAGAGAGCUAAGCAAUGUCACUCUCCCUAAGUUCAAAGAUCUUGAAAGAAAAGUCGGUGAAGAAGGAAAAUACCCAAGAUAGUGUGUGAGGACCGUGCCUGGUUCUUGGCCUUUGAUCUGAAGAUUUGGCAGCCAGGAUACCAAAUCUGUACCCAACCUUGUCACUGGUCCCAGCAGCUGUUUGAACUCACCCGCGGGGAUGGCAGCAACCCUGCUUCUGAAAGAACAGCAGAAGGGCUUACGUGCACUGCGCCUUGAAGAGCGCCUGAAAGGAAGGUCAAAGGUCAAGAAAAGAUAAAGUGCCAAACAAGGAGAUCAGUAACGCGGGGCCUUCUUGAUGAAAUCCUAAUGUCUGCUUCUUCAGGACUCGGGACUCAUAACUUCGUUUCAAAGCAGGCUCGUUUUGCUGGCGUCUGUGUGUGCAUGUGCGUCUGUGGAUUUGUGUCUGUGUGCGAUUGUGUGAGUGUAUGUGUGUAUGUGUGUGUGUGUGUGCUCGCACACUCCGGGCUUUCAGGCGGAUCACUGUCCAUCUGAAAGCCUAUUCAGUUGUGCGUGUCCUGAGCACUUUGUCUUACACAGCCUGCAUUACUCUUGUAAACAGAGACAGCAUCAAAGUGAGAGCAGAGAGUCCCAUCAGUGGAUUAAGGCCUUCUGCAUGAUAAAGUAGCUACCUAGGGGGGAUAAACUUAAUAUGUGAAAGAAUGUUAUUGAGAGGAAUAAAGUCCCAAAA